RNAcentral lists this ribosomal RNA (454 nucleotides) under uncultured bacterium. Its description in RNAcentral is "SSU rRNA". It matches the Rfam family "Bacterial small subunit ribosomal RNA", at positions 26 to 518 of the family's 1533-position model. The record is from RNAcentral.
AGGAUGAACGCUGGCGGCGUGCCUAAUACAUGCAAGUCGAGCGGUAAGGCCCCUUCGGGGGUACACGAGCGGCGGACGGCUGAGUAACACGUAGGAACGUACCCCAAAGUGAGGGAUAAGCACCAGAAAUGGUGUCUAAUACCGCAUGUGCUCUUCGGAGGAAAGCUUCGGCGCUUUGGGAACGGCCUGCGCAUGAUUAGCUUGUUGGUGAGGUAAUAGCUCACCAAGGCGACGAUCAUUAGCUGGUCUGAGAGGAUGAUCAGCCAGACUGGGACUGAGAACGGCCCAGACUCCUACGGAGGCAGCAGUAGGGAAUUUUCCACAAUGGGCGAAAGCCUGAUGGAGCAACGCCGCGUGCAGGAUGAAUGCCUUCGGGUUGUAAACUGCUUUUAUAUGUGACGAAUAUGACGGUAGCAUAUGAAUAAGGAUCGGCUAACUCCGUGCCAGCAGCCGC